UUGUGGAGGAGGACGCCGAAGGUGGGGCUAAUGACUGGGGUGAAGUCGUAACAAGGUAGCCGUACCGGAAGGUGCGGCUGGAUCACCUCCUAACAGGGAGACAACAAAAUGUUUAAUAUUAUUAUUUUGUCACCUUAGGUCGAUCGGUAUCUCACGUUCUUAAAUAAUUAAGAAUUUCAUUUCCUAAGUUUUUCUAGGUCACACCCAUUAUUUUCCUGGGCCAUUAGCUCAGGUGGUUAGAGCGCACCCCUGAUAAGGGUGAGGUCCCUGGUUCAAGUCCAGGAUGGCCCAUAUCUCUAUGUUGGGGGUAUAGCUCAGUUGGUAGAGCGCCUGCUUUGCAAGCAGGAUGUCAGCGGUUCGAGUCCGCUUACCUCCACUGAUUACCACCUCUUCCAUAAAUGUAGAAAGGAAAAUUUUUGAGUUGUGAUCAAAUUCUGAACGAAUCUAGCUUCCUAAUGAAAUCAUUAAGAUGCUGGACUCAUUGAAUUAAUUUCAUUGUUUUCAGAGAACCUUGACAACUGCAUAGAUUAUUUUUAAAGACAAUAAGCAUCUUUAAUGAUGCAGAUUUAUUAUUUGUGCAAAUGCAUUAAUAACAAUUCUAUUAAGCUGAUGCUUCAAUUUUGAAGUUAUUGGUCAAGCUACAA
RNAcentral lists this unclassified non-coding RNA (644 nucleotides) under uncultured Prochlorococcus sp. RNAcentral describes it as "partial 16S-23S ribosomal RNA intergenic spacer; may also contain 16S ribosomal RNA and 23S ribosomal RNA". The stretch from base 304 to 376 matches the Rfam family "tRNA". Lineage: Bacteria; Bacillati; Cyanobacteriota; Cyanophyceae; Synechococcales; Prochlorococcaceae. The record is from RNAcentral.